Molecule: ribosomal RNA, 733 nt
Filed under: Salmonella enterica
Lineage: Bacteria; Pseudomonadati; Pseudomonadota; Gammaproteobacteria; Enterobacterales; Enterobacteriaceae
Also listed under: 3 other names
Description: partial 23S ribosomal RNA
Rfam family: Bacterial large subunit ribosomal RNA
Source: RNAcentral
GUCAAAGCGUUCAUUAAAGUCGAGUUGGCUUAGGGAUACGUUCGUUGGGUAGGGGAGCGUUCUGUAAGCCUGUGAAGGUGUGUCGUGAGGCAUGCUGGAGGUAUCAGAAGUGCGAAUGCUGACAUAAGUAACGAUAAAGCGGGUGAAAAGCCCGCUCGCCGGAAGACCAAGGGUUCCUGUCCAACGUUAAUCGGGGCAGGGUGAGUCGACCCCUAAGGCGAGGCCGAAAGGCGUAGUCGAUGGGAAACGGGUUAAUAUUCCCGUACUUGGUGUUACUGCGAAGGGGGGACGGAGAAGGCUAUGUUGGCCGGGCGACGGUUGUCCCGGUUUAAGCGUGUAGGUGUGUGUUCCAGGUAAAUCCGGUUCACUUUAACACUGAGGCGUGACGACGAGGCACUACGGUGCUGAAGCAACAAAUGCCCUGCUUCCAGGAAAAGCCUCUAAGCAUCAGGUAACACGAAAUCGUACCCCAAACCGACACAGGUGGUCAGGUAGAGAAUACCAAGGCGCUUGAGAGAACUCGGGUGAAGGAACUAGGCAAAAUGGUGCCGUAACUUCGGGAGAAGGCACGCUGACACGUAGGUGAAGUGAUUUACUCAUGGAGCUGAAGUCAGUCGAAGAUACCAGCUGGCUGCAACUGUUUAUUAAAAACACAGCACUGUGCAAACACGAAAGUGGACGUAUACGGUGUGACGCCUGCCCGGUGCCGGAAGGUUAAUUGAUGGGGUCAGCG